Molecule: RNA transcript, 1807 nt
Organism: Morus notabilis
Lineage: Eukaryota; Viridiplantae; Streptophyta; Magnoliopsida; Rosales; Moraceae
Gene name: RNA pseudouridine synthase 2, chloroplastic
Exons: 9
Source: RefSeq, a predicted model, not a curated record
CUUCUGAAAGUAAAACGCAGGGUAUAAAAUGCUCUCCCUGUCUGGCUUAUCUUCCUCCACAAAAGCUUUUCUCUCCUCUCCUUCUCUCUUCCUUUUCUUCCUUCCUCCAAACCCUAGAAUCUCUGCAUCGUCUUCCUUUUCCUUUCAAUCUCCUCCUCGGAUUCCGAUUUCCUUUAGAGCCGGUUCUAGUUUCACUGGCGCCUCAAUUUCCGACCGAAACGAAGAGGUUCUCGCCGGCGUCAGGCCUAAUUUCGCCGGCGUGCGAUUGGAGGCGACGGUCGCGGUCGAUUCCGGCAAGGUCAGGCUCGAUUCUUGGAUCUCUUCUCGCGUUAGCGGAAUCAGCAGGGCUCGCGUGCAGUCUAGCAUCCGAUUGGGCCUCGUUCGGGUUAACGGCCAGGUCGUCGAUAAGGUUUCGCAGAAUGUGAAAACUGGCGACAAAAUCGAUUGCACAAUCUCUGAGUUGCAACCGUUGAAGGCUGAAGCUGAGGAUAUUCCUUUAGAAAUUGUGCAUGAAGACGAUAGCGUACUGGUUGUCAACAAACCUCCACACAUGGUUGUCCAUCCAGCACCAGGCAAUGCUAAAGGCACACUUGUGAAUGGCAUUCUUCAUCAUUGUAGUCUUCCUACAAUUGCAUUUUCACACCAGGAAAGUCUUUCUGAUGAUGAGGAUACUUGUGAUGAUGAAUUCAGGGGAAUGUCUAUGGAUGCUAGCAUUUCUGGAGCAUCAGUGCGUCCUGGAAUUGUGCACAGAUUAGACAAAGGCACUAGUGGGUUGCUUGUUGUUGCAAAGGAUGAACAUUCUCAUGCGCAUUUAUCUGAACAAUUCAAGUUGCACACUAUACAUAGAGUAUAUGUUAGUCUUACUUCAGGUGUGCCCUCCCAACUUUCUGGACAUAUUGAGGUUCCAAUCGGUCGUGAUCCAAAUAAUCGGAUUCGUAUGGCUGCUAUACCAGGAGCAACUAAUAGUAAACGAGCUCGACAUGCUGCUAGUAGGUAUAAAGUAAUUGAAAUACUUGCUGCUGGUGGUUCUGCAUUGGUUGAGUGGAGAUUAGAAACUGGGCGCACCCAUCAGAUACGUGCACAUGCGAAGUACUUGGGUAUUCCUCUAUUAGGCGAUGAGGUGUAUGGAGGGGCGAAGAGCAUGGCUUUGUCACUGCUUCGGUCUAAAACUCCCUCUAGCUGUCAUGGUCAACUCUCAAAGCUGGUCUCUGGAUUCAAGAGGCCUUGUCUCCAUGCUUUAGCUCUUGGGUUUACACAUCCAUAUACAAAGAAGAACAUACAGUUUACAUGCCCACCUCCUGCAGAUUUUACUGAGAUAUUGAGCCAACUUCGAAAAUUUGGCGACGUUAAGCAUUCUGCUUAGAUAUUGUCCGUUCUUGGUAACCUUAAGCAAGACACUACCAGGUGAAUAGAAAGUUAUGACAGUGAAGUGUGAACUACAUUUUCAUCGCAAGAGUGGAUCAAUAGUUGAGAAUAUGCCCGCAGAACAUAUCGGACCAUAGCCAUACCGAAAAAAGGACUCAGGUUUCUCUACAAUAACCUCUGCAAAGAAGUGUAUAAGGGCUGAAAAAAUCUUGGUAAGGGGGUCCAAAAAAAAAUUCGUUGGAUCUUUAAAAAGCCAGUCAAACGGAUUUUUUUGCCAAAAAAUAAAAAAGUCUUAGCGGAUCUUAAACAAGGACCUUAAACAAAAGAUGUGGUGAGCUCAAGUUCCAUGAUUUCACUAUCAUCGUUGUAGCAAAAUUUUCGGCCCAUUCACAUUUUCCCGGGAGUUUAUCGUUGCUUAAAGAAGAUCACAACUUAUUCUCGU